RNAcentral lists this ribosomal RNA (589 nucleotides) under Enterobacter asburiae. RNAcentral describes it as "bacterial SSU rRNA". It matches the Rfam family "Bacterial small subunit ribosomal RNA", at positions 90 to 676 of the family's 1533-position model. Lineage: Bacteria; Pseudomonadati; Pseudomonadota; Gammaproteobacteria; Enterobacterales; Enterobacteriaceae. The record is from RNAcentral.
GACGAGCGGCGGAGGGUGAGUAAUGUCUGGGAAACUGCCUGAUGGAGGGGGAUAACUACUGGAAACGGUAGCUAAUACCGCAUAACGUCGCAAGACCAAAGAGGGGGACCUUCGGGCCUCUUGCCAUCAGAUGUGCCCAGAUGGGAUUAGCUAGUAGGUGGGGUAACGGCUCACCUAGGCGACGAUCCCUAGCUGGUCUGAGAGGAUGACCAGCCACACUGGAACUGAGACACGGUCCAGACUCCUACGGGAGGCAGCAGUGGGGAAUAUUGCACAAUGGGCGCAAGCCUGAUGCAGCCAUGCCGCGUGUAUGAAGAAGGCCUUCGGGUUGUAAAGUACUUUCAGCGGGGAGGAAGGCGAUAAGGUUAAUAACCUUGUCGAUUGACGUUACCCGCAGAAGAAGCACCGGCUAACUCCGUGCCAGCAGCCGCGGUAAUACGGAGGGUGCAAGCGUUAAUCGGAAUUACUGGGCGUAAAGCGCACGCAGGCGGUCUGUCAAGUCGGAUGUGAAAUCCCCGGGCUCAACCUGGGAACUGCAUUCGAAACUGGCAGGCUAGAGUCUUGUAGAGGGGGGUAGAAUUCCCAGGUG